AGUGAACGCUGGCGGUAGGCCUAACACAUGCAAGUCGAACGGCAGCACAGUAAGAGCUUGCUCUUACGGGUGGCGAGUGGCGGACGGGUGAGGAAUACAUCGGAAUCUACUUUUUCGUGGGGGAUAACGUAGGGAAACUUACGCUAAUACCGCAUACGACCUACGGGUGAAAGCAGGGGAUCUUCGGACCUUGCGCGAUUGAAUGAGCCGAUGUCGGAUUAGCUAGUUGGCGGGGUAAAGGCCCACCAAGGCGACGAUCCGUAGCUGGUCUGAGAGGAUGAUCAGCCACACUGGAACUGAGACACGGUCCAGACUCCUACGGGAGGCAGCAGUGGGGAAUAUUGGACAAUGGGCGCAAGCCUGAUCCAGCCAUACCGAGUGGGUGAAGAAGGCCUUCGGGUUGUAAAGCCCUUUUGUUGGGAAAGAAAAGCAGCAGGUUAAUACCCCGCUGUUCUGAAGGUACCAAAAGAAUAAGCACCGGCUAACUUCGUG
Molecule: ribosomal RNA, 492 nt
Filed under: uncultured bacterium
Lineage: Bacteria
Description: partial 16S ribosomal RNA
Rfam family: Bacterial small subunit ribosomal RNA
Source: RNAcentral